This 479-nucleotide ribosomal RNA is filed under the name uncultured bacterium. Its description in RNAcentral is "partial 16S ribosomal RNA". It matches the Rfam family "Bacterial small subunit ribosomal RNA", at positions 28 to 507 of the family's 1533-position model. The record is from RNAcentral.
GAUGAACGCUCGCGGGAGGCCUAACACAUGCAAGCCGAGCGGUAUUGUUUCUUCGGAAAUGAGAGAGCGGCGUACGGGUGCGUAACACGUGUGCAACCUGCCUUUAUCUGUGGGAUAGCCUUUCGAAAGGAAGAUUAAUACUCCAUAAUAUAUUGAACGGCAUCGUUUAAUAUUGAAAGCUCCGGCGGAUAGAGAUGGGCACGCGCAAGAUUAGCUAGUUGGUGAGGUAACGGCUCACCAAGGCGAUGAUCUUUAGGGGGCCUGAGAGGGUGAUCCCCCACACUGGUACUGAGACACGGACCAGACUCCUACGGGAGGCAGCAGUGAGGAAUAUUGGUCAAUGGGUGCAAGCCUGAACCAGCCAUCCCGCGUGAAGGACGACUGCCCUAUGGGUUGUAAACUUCUUUUGUAUAGGGAUAAACCUACCCUCGUGAGGGUAGCUGAAGGUACUAUACGAAUAAGCACCGGCUAACUCCGUG